Caenorhabditis elegans is the source of this 21-nucleotide non-coding RNA. The record is from Ensembl. NCBI's taxonomy places the organism in Eukaryota, Metazoa, Nematoda, Chromadorea, Rhabditida, Rhabditidae.
UAGUUCCUUUUUAAUGGCAAG